CGGCCGCCCUCCCCGCAGAGCCAGCCCCGGGCUGGCCGGGGGCCAGGCAGCCAGACGCCAGCCCGGGCUCCCAGCGCCGGGAGAGGCCGCCCGGCCUGCCACACAAUGGCAUUAUCUGGGGCCGAGCAGCGCCGCAGAAAGCCGCGCUGCUUCCUGUGCUCCGAGCCGCGGGCAGGGCCCGCUCGGCCGCCGGGCCCCGCGCAAACCUCCCGAGGCGCCUCCGGCCUGGGAUUUACAGCGCCCGCAGGCAGCCGUGCCUUGUAUUUUUAGUCUCUGCUGUCAUGAUCGACAAGAUCUAUGAAGAUUUAUAAUGCUUCUUUUCUUAAAUGAAGACUUGAAGAAAACUGAUUCACUGCCGGACAGAAUUCACUGGGCAGAAGGAAGGAGCAAAGCAAGAGAAUUGACUGUGAUGCAGAGCAACCACCCCACUUCUAGGUUAACAAGGUUGCCUCUGUGAAUAUCACUUGGCUGCUGCAUUUCUUUCUUCACUUGACCAAGAUUUAAUUGGAACUCUGCCACAGAUUUUCCAAUGUGACAUGAGAUGAAUCAUACAAUCUGAAAUUCUACUCUUUAUCAUUUUAAACGGAGUAGUAACAUCCAGUGGGUUGUUUUGUUUUGUUUUGUUUUGUUUUGUUUUGCUGGAUGUGUUUUGGAAAACAAAGGCAUUAUCCCCUGUCUCUGAAAGUAAUGCUGUAAUGCAUAUAAUUGAAACAUUAAAAUAAUUUGGAAUAUUUGAGGAGCAACACUCAAUUGUUUAUUUAAUCUUUCCAUUUGCUUUCUUAGUACUGUUUUCUUUCUUUUAGCACUAUCAAAAAUAAUGGUUAAAAAAUUAAUUAACAUUUUUUAAAAACUCAAUAUAUAUUUUGAAAAAAUAAAAGCAGAAAAAAUUAUAUUAAUUGAAAGGAUAGGAAUGAAGUAAUGUAUUCAAGCUUUUUUUCAUAACCACUCUUUGUAUUGCAAGA
Passer domesticus (house sparrow) is the source of this 962-nucleotide long non-coding RNA. RefSeq lists it as uncharacterized. Lineage: Eukaryota; Metazoa; Chordata; Aves; Passeriformes; Passeridae. The record is from RefSeq and is a predicted model, not a curated record. The transcript is spliced from 3 exons.